AUGCUCCACGAGGAAUUCUUUGCUUUGAGGCCAUGCACAGAGGUGGGUUCACUAUGAAGCUUGUGAAAUAAGCUUCAGGGCCCGCAUUUGCAUGGGCCACAGAGAGUCUGGGAGCUGCAGAAGGUUCAAGGGAAGAGGAGCCAUCACAAGCAGAAUAUUCUAGAAGGCAUUUCUGGCAAAUGGCCCAAAGAGGCCUCAGGAGAAAAGAACUUGAGUCUUCAAGGAUGCAAUGAGAAGGCACCAUCUGUGAGGAACAGGCCUCCGACAGACACCGAAUUUGCUGGCACUUUGAUCUUGGACUUCCCAGCCUCCAAAAUUAUCCAUAAUGGAUUCCUGGGACAUUUUCAGAUCUCCUUCCAGCUUCCUCUUCGCCCUUUCCAAGUCCGCCCGCAGUUUCUUCUCCUGCUCUAAGGAACCCUCAAGCUGAGAAGACACACAGAAGACCCAGAAGUCCAGCUUUGAAGAAAACCUGGAGAAAGAGAGAGUCACAAAUCAUCUCCAUACUGCAGGAGAUGCAGAAAUGGCAGAAGAUCAAUUUCAGCGUGUUUGGACCAGCAGAUUCCAGGUGAUGGAUAGGCAGCUUCAUUUUAAUAGUCUGUUGGUACAGGGUGACCUGUAGCCUUUCCAGAAGAGGUAAAAUGAAUCCUCCGGUUGUCACCCCCUCCUUCCUCGCUCCAAUUCCAUCAUUAAUCCCCGUUUGAGGAUUUGAGUGCUGCCGAGGACUGACAGACUCCAUGAGGUUCAGCUGCUGCCUGGUACAUGUGGUCACCUGCAGCUUCUUCAGCCCUACAUAUAUUUUGUGCUGUUUUAGACUGCUCUUUCUUCCAUUAAAUGAGAGAUUAGAUCUGAAUGGCCACGUGAUCUUCUGAGUCCCAUCUGUAAGAAUCUGCAUUUCCACGGAAUUGGGGGAGCAAACGUUCUCAAAACAUUCUUAAAUGCAAACCCGCAGGCACAGCAUGUGUCUGUCAACUCCAAGAGCAUUUGGAUGUUCGAAGGGAGAGGAUGUUUGACAUCUAACCCGUCGUGGAAAGAGGAGCCUCUUCCCACAGCUAUUUGAGCAAGGGCCCAAGACGAUGGAGAGGCGGCAAAGCUGCUGGGAGGGCCUGUUCGCAGGCAGGAAUGCACUGGCUGUGCCUCGCCCCGCCAUGUCCUUCCACAGGUCCUUAAAUGAUAACAGAAGUUUCCCAAACCAUCCUAUGGAUGAAAAUCUGUGACCUCAAGGGACUGAAGUCAUACUAAUGAAAAACCUAAGAAGCUGAAGAAUGUCUCCCCCUAUUGGAUGAUUUAGCAAAUGUACAGCAUGAAUUCCUCAUCGAAUCUCAUCAAAAGUCAAAUUCUUAUGGCAGUAGGCCAGUAUUUCUCAAAAUGGGGCCAAAGAUACAUUCUACAAGGUCCAAGAAGUUUCCAUAAGACUUACAUAUUUUUGUUUUCAUUUGUAAUUAAAAACAUUAAUAUCCAUA
Molecule: long non-coding RNA, 1460 nt
Organism: Homo sapiens (human)
Lineage: Eukaryota; Metazoa; Chordata; Mammalia; Primates; Hominidae
Gene: MYHAS
Product: myosin heavy chain gene cluster antisense RNA
Source: Ensembl